Molecule: unclassified non-coding RNA, 265 nt
Filed under: Hevea brasiliensis (rubber tree)
Lineage: Eukaryota; Viridiplantae; Streptophyta; Magnoliopsida; Malpighiales; Euphorbiaceae
Source: RNAcentral
CUCGGAUGAUGACGACAUCGUUACACUACUUGCGGCAGGCCAGGCGGGGCUCGAUCGCGACACUGACACGAGGGCUCUGUUGAAGGCGGUCGACGAUCGUCGGCGUGAUCUAAAGUCUCGCGAAACGAUACGGAACGACGCGUUGGAGGCUGAACGAGCAUGGAACAGGGCCUGGCACGAUGCUUGCGCCGCAUGCUGGCUCGGCGAAAGCGGAAGAUCGCCUACGAUCACUACCGUAAGAGAAACAUUGGAUGCUGUGGCGGGA